This 254-nucleotide ribosomal RNA is filed under the name uncultured bacterium. RNAcentral's name for it is "partial 16S ribosomal RNA". It matches the Rfam family "Bacterial small subunit ribosomal RNA", at positions 524 to 776 of the family's 1533-position model. The record is from RNAcentral.
UACGAAGGGGGGCUAGCGUUGCUCGGAAUCACUGGGCGUAAAGCGCACGUAGGCGGCUUCUUAAGUCAGGGGUGAAAUCCUGGAGCUCAACUCCAGAACUGCCUUUGAUACUGAGAAGCUUGAGUCCGGGAGAGGUGAGUGGAACUGCGAGUGUAGAGGUGAAAUUCGUAGAUAUUCGCAAGAACACCAGUGGCGAAGGCGGCUCACUGGCCCGAUACUGACGCUGAGGAGCGAAAGCGUGGGGAGCGAACAGG